GAAUGUACUUCGCUCCCGGUGAGACCCCUCAGUCUCCUCCCACAAGGGUGGGCGUCUGUCGUCCGAUCCCUCGUGGGUUUUUCCUGGUUCCUGUGCUGUGUACCCGUGGAAUGGUAGUUCGGAGUCCCGUUGUCCCUAUCCGCCGGAUGCCUCCCCAGGGCUCCCGGCGGAACUCUUGGCGUGGCCCUGUGUUCCCGGCACUCUCUGCACCUAGUGGUGCUGCCGUGGUCACAUGGUGCUCUCGCCUGUCCCAUCGGAUGUGGAAGAAUCGCGUGGGCUCGGGGUGUCGGUCCCUAAUCUGUCCAUACAAAGCGUUUUGUCGCUCGACAUGCCUGACGUCCUCGCGGUGCCGCGCCCUCCCCCGUCCCCAUGUGGGCUGGUCGGGAGACGGCUCGUGCGUCGCGGGCGUCGUAGAGGAAUGCUACCUGGUUGAUCCUGCCAGUAGUCAUAUGCUUGGCUCAAAGAAUAAGCCAUGCAUGUGUAAAUAUGAACCAAUUCCGAAU
RNAcentral lists this unclassified non-coding RNA (503 nucleotides) under Tetratheca hirsuta. Its description in RNAcentral is "partial contains external transcribed spacer and 18S ribosomal RNA". The stretch from base 423 to 503 matches the Rfam family "Eukaryotic small subunit ribosomal RNA", at positions 1 to 80 of the family's 1831-position model. The record is from RNAcentral. Lineage: Eukaryota; Viridiplantae; Streptophyta; Magnoliopsida; Oxalidales; Elaeocarpaceae.